This 381-nucleotide unclassified non-coding RNA is filed under the name uncultured bacterium. Its description in RNAcentral is "contains 16S-23S intergenic spacer region". The record is from RNAcentral.
UCGCGUCUUACGACGGCAGUUUCACUAGAGUUCCCAGCAUUACCUGAUGGCAACUAGUGAUAGGGGUUGCGCUCGUUGCGGGACUUAACCCAACACCUCACGACACGAGCUGACGACAGCCAUGCAGCACCUGUGUCCAGGUUCCCUUUCGGGCACCCCCCCAUCUCUGGAGGGUUCCUGGCAUGUCAAGGGUAGGUAAGGUUUUUCGCGUUGCAUCGAAUUAAUCCACAUAAUCCACCGCUUGUGCGGGUCCCCGCCAAUUCCUUUGAGUUUUAGCCUUGCGGCCGUAGUCCCCAGGCGGCGGACUUAUCGCGUUGGCUGCGGCACCGGGGGGGUCGAUACCCCCGACACCUAGUCCGCAUCGUUUACGGCGUGGACUAC